UUUUUUUUAGAUUUAAUUAUGUUUUUAAUUCAAUUUUAUCUUGUGUUAUUAAUUUUAUUUUAAAUGUUAAACUUUAGCUUUCAUUUGAAUUUAAAAAUUAAGCUUCUUUUUUAAAUUAAAUUUAAGAAUCAUAAGAAAAAAAAUAUCUUAACCCCUCCACUCACAAGAGGCCGUGUGACAUCUCUCUUUCCAUCUUUAUGAAAUAAAAAAAAGGAUAAGAAAAAAUAGGAUGAGUUUUCGGUUACGUGAAUCAUAUUCAAGCAACCACAUAAAUGACUCACCUUUAAAAAAAA
RNAcentral lists this long non-coding RNA (293 nucleotides) under Lathyrus oleraceus (garden pea). Its description in RNAcentral is "Pisum sativum (pea) long non-coding RNA (PSAT_LNC023418)". Lineage: Eukaryota; Viridiplantae; Streptophyta; Magnoliopsida; Fabales; Fabaceae. The record is from RNAcentral.